RNAcentral lists this long non-coding RNA (241 nucleotides) under Lathyrus oleraceus (garden pea). Its description in RNAcentral is "Pisum sativum (pea) long non-coding RNA (PSAT_LNC019199)". Lineage: Eukaryota; Viridiplantae; Streptophyta; Magnoliopsida; Fabales; Fabaceae. The record is from RNAcentral.
UCAACAACAAUAACAACGUCAACCGCAACAACCAGAACAACGAACAAACACCUACAACAACAACAAUACCAACAACAAUCAUCAUAAACAAAACUUAGAGAGGAAGACGGUCUCUUUCGACCCAAUUCCUAUGUCUUAUGCUAAACUGUAUCCUUCUUUGGUUCUUAAGAACCUACUUCAACCAAGAAACCCGCCGCAAGUUCCAGAACCACUUCCGUGGUGGUAUAAGCCUGAACUCCGU